GUAAAUAUAUAAAUAAUGCUCACUUUUCGUCUCUUAUUUCGAAAUCGAUUUUGCAGGUUGGUUUGUUGUUAGCCUCGAGGUUCUCAAGUUCUCCAAUAGUUAUUAUCUGGCCAAUUACAUCUGCAUCAUGGAAGAGUUCUCCACUUUGUAUCUUCUGAUACUUUGCCAACGACAGAAAGGAAGAAUCUGAUUUGGGGUCACAAUGCAUGACUACAGUCCCAGGGAUGAAAGCCAUCUUAUAGAGAUGGCUGGUUGGUCUGUAUUGGCCGGUGGCAUAGUUAAGACCGAAGUUUUCAAUGAAAACCCAGUCAUCAAUGUGCAGCCUGUUCACAUAAAGGUUCACCAAAUCCUUCCUCACGCUAGCGUGUAUCUUCUUACCCUAUAAAUGCAUGACGCCAUGAAUGUAGCAUCUUAACCUGAACUCGCCACGCCGUUUUGUAUGGCCUAACAUCCUUGAGGAAAGCAAAUGACGCUGCCAUUUCAAUGAGUCGUGGUAUGUUUGAUUGUGAGAGUGAUUUGGUUUUCUUUUCAAAGCGUCAUAUAUAUAGUAGAGCAUAGAGUAGGUUUGGUUGUUAAGAUCGUAUUUGAAAGAUGAAUAUAGGAUUUUUAUAAAAAGCGAAAUCUGUGGAAUAUACGAAUCAAAGUUGAUUUGAUUCUUUUGUUUUGAUAUUUUAAGUUUCUAUAAAUAAACAAAAUCAGUUCAAUCCGA
Molecule: long non-coding RNA, 709 nt
Organism: Capsella rubella
Lineage: Eukaryota; Viridiplantae; Streptophyta; Magnoliopsida; Brassicales; Brassicaceae
Exons: 3
Source: RefSeq, a predicted model, not a curated record